RNAcentral lists this ribosomal RNA (443 nucleotides) under uncultured bacterium. RNAcentral's name for it is "partial 16S ribosomal RNA". It matches the Rfam family "Bacterial small subunit ribosomal RNA", at positions 338 to 795 of the family's 1533-position model. The record is from RNAcentral.
CCUACGGGUGGCAGCAGUGGGGAAUAUUGGUCAAUGGGCGCAAGCCUGACCCAGCAACGCCGCGUGAAGGAAGAAGGCUUUCGGGUUGUAAACUUCUUUUCUCAGGGACGAAACAAGUGACGGUACCUGAGGAAUAAGCCACUGCUAACUACGUACAAGCAGCCGCGGUAAUACGUAGGUGGCAAGCGUUAUCCGGAUUUACUGGGUGUAAAGGGCGUGUAGGCGGGACUGCAAGUCAGCAGUGAAAGCCAUGGGCUCAACCUAUGACCUGCAUUUGAAACUGUAGUUCUUGAGUACUGGAGAGGCAUACGGAAUUCCUAGUGUAGCGGUGAAAUGCGUAGAUAUUAGGAGGAACACCAGUGGCGAAGGCGGUCUGCUGGACUGCAACUGACGCUGAGGCACGAAAGCGUGGGGAGCAAACAGGAUUAGAUACCCCAGUAGUC